UAUUUGGUUGGUGCAAAAGUAAUUGUGGUUUUUGCCAUUGCUUUUAAUUAUUUUUAAUGGCAAAAACCGUAAUUACUUUUGCACCAACCUGAUACUU
This is a microRNA precursor of Chlorocebus sabaeus (green monkey), 97 nucleotides long. The record is from Ensembl. NCBI's taxonomy places the organism in Eukaryota, Metazoa, Chordata, Mammalia, Primates, Cercopithecidae.